CAGCCGCCGCGGUAACACAGAGGGUGCAAGCGUUAAUCGGAAUUACUGGGCGUAAAGCGCGCGUAGGUGGUUUGUUAAGUUGGAUGUGAAAUCCCCGGGCUCAACCUGGGAACUGCAUCCAAAACUGGCAAGCUAGAGUAUGGUAGAGGGUGGUGGAAUUUCCUGUGUAGCGGUGAAAUGCGUAGAUAUAGGAAGGAACACCUGUGGCGAAGGCGACCACCUGGACUGAUACUGACACUGAGGUGCGAAAGCGUGGGGAGCAAACAGGAUUAGAUACCCCUGUAGUCCCUGUCUCUUAUAA
RNAcentral lists this ribosomal RNA (301 nucleotides) under uncultured bacterium. RNAcentral describes it as "partial 16S ribosomal RNA". It matches the Rfam family "Bacterial small subunit ribosomal RNA", at positions 509 to 809 of the family's 1533-position model. The record is from RNAcentral.